Parus major (Great Tit) is the source of this 1580-nucleotide long non-coding RNA. NCBI's taxonomy places the organism in Eukaryota, Metazoa, Chordata, Aves, Passeriformes, Paridae. The record is from Ensembl.
CUCCCUUUUCCUCCAGUGCUGAUCCAGCAGGUAGAGCAGGACACGGAGGGAAGGUGAGCCCCGAGCUGGGCGACAGCUUUGGAGAAAGGUCUGGAGAAGGUUCUGGAACAGGGUCUGGAGAAAGUUCCAGAGUGGGUUCUCAGGCAGGUUCCAGAGGUUCUGGGUCGGUUCUAGAUCGGGUUCCGGAUCGGUUCUAGAUCGGGUUCCGGAUCGGUUCUAGAUCACGUUCUAGAUCGGUUCUAGAUCACGUUCUAGAGCGGUUCUAGAUCGGUUCUAGAUCACGUUCUAGAUCAUGUUCUAGAGCAGGUUCCAGAUCGGUUCUAGAGCGGUUCCAGAUCGGUUCUAGAGCAGGUUCUCGAGGUUCCGGAGCAGGUUCUCGAGAAGGUUCUUGCUUUGGAGAAGGUUCUGGGGAAGGUUCCGACUCUGGAGAAGGUUCUGGAGAAGGUUCCAGAACAGGGUCUGGAGUGGGUUCUGGAGAAGGUUCUUGCUUUGGAGAAGGUUCUGGAGAAGGUUCAGACUCUGGAGAAGGUUCUGGGGAAGGUUUUGACUCUGGAGAAGGUUCUGGAGAAGGUUCCGACUCGAGAAGGUUCUGGGGAAGGUUUUGACUCUGGAGAAGGUUGUGGAUCCAGUGUGGAUUUAUUGCAGACCCAGUGUGGAUCUAAUGUGGAUCUGGUGUGGAUUUAUUGUGGAUUUAUAGCGGAUCCAGUGUGGAUCCAGUGUGGAUUCAGUGUGGAUCCGGUGUGGAUUCAUUGUGGAUCCGGUGUGGAUUCAUUGUGGAUCUGGUGUGGAUUCAGUGUGGAUUCAUUGUGGAUCCGGUGUGGAUUCAUUCCGGAUCCAGCGUGGAUCUGGUGUGGAUUGGGUGUGGAUUCAUUCCGGACCCGGUGUGGAUUCAGUGUGGAUUCAUUCCGGAUCCGGUGUGGAUCGGGUGUGGAUCCGGUGUGGAUUCAUUCCGGAUCCGGUGUGGAUUCAGUGUGGAUCGGGUGUGGAUUCAUUCCGGAUCCAGCUCCCCACAUCCCCUUGGCUGAGCUCGGAUCCGGAUCCGGGAAUGAGAAGGGAUUUGUGUCCCGGGAGCGCCGGGGCCGGGCUGGGAUUUGGGUUGGAUUUUCCGGAUGGGGGAGGCGGGGCUGGAAUCCCUGGAGAAAGGACAAAACCAUGGAAAUAACCAGGACGGGAUCCACCAGAUCCCAGGAGUUUGCCAUUCCCGAUCAUCCAGGGACCCCCAGAUGGGCUCAGAGCUCCUUUCCAGGGGAAAUCCGGCUGGGAUUCGGGUGCUGGAAACGCUCCGAGGAUCUGGGGACGGAUUUAUCCCCCGGGGAUGGGGCAGGAUUGGGGAUGUUCCUCCCUCGGGAUGGAAUCGGCUCCGGAGGAAGAGUUGGCCGUUCCCAGCAGGAAAAUUUGGGAGUCAGAAUUCCAAAGAGAAGGAUCUGGAAUCACCACGGGGGGCUCGGCCCUGGGACCCCUCAGGAACUCGCUUUUCCUUGGAUCUGAGGAGGAAAAAAGGAAAAAAGCCAGAAAUGGUUGUUCCCAUGGAAGAGUUUUUGCUUCUCCUCCUUUUCCUUUUUCCUUCUCCUUUUUUCUUU